UACGGAAGGCAGCAGUGGGGAAUAUUGCACAAUGGGCGCAAGCCUGAUGCAGCCAUGCCGCGUGUAUGAAAAAAGGCCCUUCGGGUUGUAAAGUACUUUCAGUCGUGAGGAAGGUGUUAAGGUUAAUAACCUUAGCAAUUGACGUUAGCGACAGAAGAAGCACCGGCUAACUCCGUGCCAGCAGCCGCGGUAAUACGGAGGGUACGAGCGUUAAUCGGAAUUACUGGGCGUAAAGGGCACGCAGGCGGUUAAUUAAGUUUGGAUGUGAAAUCCCCGGGCUUAACCUGGGAAUGGCAUUCAAGACUGGUUUAGCUAGAGUCUUGUAGAGGGGGUGGAAUUCCAUGUGUAGCGGUGAAAUGCGUAGAGAUGUGGAGGAAUACCGGUGGCGAAGGCGGCCCCUGGACAAAGACUGACGCUCAUGUGCGAAAGCGUGGGGAGGCAAAACAGGGAUUAGAU
This 456-nucleotide ribosomal RNA is filed under the name uncultured bacterium. Its description in RNAcentral is "bacterial SSU rRNA". It matches the Rfam family "Bacterial small subunit ribosomal RNA", at positions 340 to 783 of the family's 1533-position model. The record is from RNAcentral.